Molecule: microRNA precursor, 66 nt
Filed under: Marmota monax (woodchuck)
Lineage: Eukaryota; Metazoa; Chordata; Mammalia; Rodentia; Sciuridae
Source: RNAcentral
UCUUACAGAUGAGUAAAGAAAGCAUUUUCUUGAGAUGGAAUCUAUUCCUGUUGAAGAUGUUGUGAA